AUGCGACAGAUAAAGCAGGAGUCCAAUCAAGACAACUUGCAACUUUGGUGUUGUCACAUUGGAGUCCGUGCUGAGCAGCAAUGGGAGACUGUCGUUGAUGCCCGACCCAUGAUGCCGACGAAGGAACGAGAGUCGAUGAGGAGUAGACGCCAUGGGUUUGUGAACUGGCCAAGCCACCGUUGUCCGUUUGGUAAUGUGACUUGCCCUGAUUUUGACGUCGUCUACCAACAUCCGACGAAGGGAACCCGUCCCGGUUUCCAUCUUGAUGUUGUUGAGCUCNNNNNNNNNNGCACUACAAAACUGAGAAAGACCCAUAACUUUUUACAGGAUCGUUUCUACAUACUACAAAUAGAGGGAAGUUGGCUUGUGCCUUACUAG
This 378-nucleotide ribosomal RNA is filed under the name Triticum aestivum (bread wheat). Its description in RNAcentral is "partial small subunit ribosomal RNA". Lineage: Eukaryota; Viridiplantae; Streptophyta; Magnoliopsida; Poales; Poaceae. The record is from RNAcentral.